Molecule: ribosomal RNA, 1209 nt
Filed under: Bacillus altitudinis
Lineage: Bacteria; Bacillati; Bacillota; Bacilli; Caryophanales; Bacillaceae
Description: bacterial SSU rRNA
Rfam family: Bacterial small subunit ribosomal RNA
Source: RNAcentral
GAAACCGGAGCUAAUACCGGAUAGUUCCUUGAACCGCAUGGUUCAAGGAUGAAAGACGGUUUCGGCUGUCACUUACAGAUGGACCCGCGGCGCAUUAGCUAGUUGGUGAGGUAACGGCUCACCAAGGCGACGAUGCGUAGCCGACCUGAGAGGGUGAUCGGCCACACUGGGACUGAGACACGGCCCAGACUCCUACGGGAGGCAGCAGUAGGGAAUCUUCCGCAAUGGACGAAAGUCUGACGGAGCAACGCCGCGUGAGUGAUGAAGGUUUUCGGAUCGUAAAGCUCUGUUGUUAGGGAAGAACAAGUGCAAGAGUAACUGCUUGCACCUUGACGGUACCUAACCAGAAAGCCACGGCUAACUACGUGCCAGCAGCCGCGGUAAUACGUAGGUGGCAAGCGUUGUCCGGAAUUAUUGGGCGUAAAGGGCUCGCAGGCGGUUUCUUAAGUCUGAUGUGAAAGCCCCCGGCUCAACCGGGGAGGGUCAUUGGAAACUGGGAAACUUGAGUGCAGAAGAGGAGAGUGGAAUUCCACGUGUAGCGGUGAAAUGCGUAGAGAUGUGGAGGAACACCAGUGGCGAAGGCGACUCUCUGGUCUGUAACUGACGCUGAGGAGCGAAAGCGUGGGGAGCGAACAGGAUUAGAUACCCUGGUAGUCCACGCCGUAAACGAUGAGUGCUAAGUGUUAGGGGGUUUCCGCCCCUUAGUGCUGCAGCUAACGCAUUAAGCACUCCGCCUGGGGAGUACGGUCGCAAGACUGAAACUCAAAGGAAUUGACGGGGGCCCGCACAAGCGGUGGAGCAUGUGGUUUAAUUCGAAGCAACGCGAAGAACCUUACCAGGUCUUGACAUCCUCUGACAACCCUAGAGAUAGGGCUUUCCCUUCGGGGACAGAGUGACAGGUGGUGCAUGGUUGUCGUCAGCUCGUGUCGUGAGAUGUUGGGUUAAGUCCCGCAACGAGCGCAACCCUUUGAUCUUAGUUGCCAGCAUUCAGUUGGGCACUCUAAGGUGACUGCCGGUGACAAACCGGAGGAAGGUGGGGAUGACGUCAAAUCAUCAUGCCCCUUAUGACCUGGGCUACACACGUGCUACAAUGGACAGAACAAAGGGCUGCGAGACCGCAAGGUUUAGCCAAUCCCACAAAUCUGUUCUCAGUUCGGAUCGCAGUCUGCAACUCGACUGCGUGAAGCUGGAAUCGCUAGUAAUCGCGGA